GAUGAACGCUGGCGGCGUGCUUAACACAUGCAAGUCGAACGAUGAACCCGAAGCUUGCUUUGGGGGAUUAGUGGCGAACGGGUGAGUAACACGUGAGCAACCUGCCCCUGACUCUGGGAUAAGCGCUGGAAACGGCGUCUAAUACUGGAUAUGAACUGGAACCGCAUGGUUACUGGUUGGAAAGAUUUUUUGGUUGGGGAUGGGCUCGCGGCCUAUCAGCUUGUUGGUGAGGUAAUGGCUCACCAAGGCGUCGACGGGUAGCCGGCCUGAGAGGGUGACCGGCCACACUGGGACUGAGACACGGCCCAGACUCCUACGGGAGGCAGCAGUGGGGAAUAUUGCACAAUGGGCGGAAGCCUGAUGCAGCAACGCCGCGUGAGGGAUGACGGCCUUCGGGUUGUAAACCUCUUUUAGCAGGGAAGAAGCGAGAGUGACGGUACCUGCAGAAAAAGCACCGGCUAACUACGUGCCAGCCGCCGCCGUAAAAC
RNAcentral lists this ribosomal RNA (488 nucleotides) under uncultured bacterium. Its description in RNAcentral is "bacterial SSU rRNA". It matches the Rfam family "Bacterial small subunit ribosomal RNA", at positions 28 to 526 of the family's 1533-position model. The record is from RNAcentral.